CCUACGGGAGGCAGCAGUGAGGAAUAUUGGUCAAUGGACGAGAGUCUGAACCAGCCAAGUAGCGUGAAGGAUGACUGCCCUAUGGGUUGUAAACUUCUUUUAUAUGGGAAUAAAACAGGGUAUGCAUACCCUCUUGUAUGUAACAUAUGAAUAAGGCUCGGCUAAAUCCGUGCCAGCAGCCGCGGUAAUACGGAGGAUUCGAGCGUUUUCCGGAUUUAUUGGGUUUAAAGGGAGCCGUGGUGGAUUGUUAAUGCAGUUGGGAAAGUUUGCGGCUCAACCGUAAAAUUGCAGUUGAAACUGGCAGUCUUGAGUACAGUAGAGGUGGGCGGAAUUCGUGGUGUAGCGGUGAAAUGCUUAGAUAUCACGAAGAACUCCGAUUGCGAAGGCAGCUCACUGGACUGCAACUGACACUGAUGCACGAAAGUGUGGGUAUCGAACAGGAUUAGAUACCCCUGUAGUC
Molecule: ribosomal RNA, 460 nt
Filed under: uncultured bacterium
Lineage: Bacteria
Description: partial 16S ribosomal RNA
Rfam family: Bacterial small subunit ribosomal RNA
Source: RNAcentral